GAGCGGAAGUCACACGACCUACUCCGCUGAGGUCCGCAAAAAACAAUAUUUUUAAACAGGAAAAGAUGAGAAGAGCACGCCCGUGAGUUUAAACAUAAAGGUAUGGAACUGCGUGAUUGCCUAGGUUUUUGGGUGGUUUAUGUCACAGCCUUCGGGGACACACCGAAGAUGCACGUCUUUCUCUGCUGCACCACCAGCACAGGGUGCUGUCCGCCAGACCGUUUGAACCACAAACCCCUUUCCAAAGGGCUCGAGCGGUACAUAUUUACCAGUCACUCCCAAAACCCUUUGGAGGGGUUCACAGAGUGUGUAUUGUGGCCGGGGACAGCAGAUGCACCAGAACCGCGGCGCACGUCCUUCCCCCACAGGAUGCACCGCUCCGGUACGACGAUAACUGUCCGAGCGACUCAAGCGAGAUCACAAAUCUAACUCAGCAAAGACCUGUACACAGGGAAUAUGAAAUAUAGCACAAAACCAGAACAUACAUGUUGUGUAUUAAUG
Molecule: long non-coding RNA, 501 nt
Organism: Scleropages formosus (Asian bonytongue)
Lineage: Eukaryota; Metazoa; Chordata; Actinopteri; Osteoglossiformes; Osteoglossidae
Source: Ensembl